RNAcentral lists this small nucleolar RNA (98 nucleotides) under Microcebus murinus (gray mouse lemur). RNAcentral describes it as "Small nucleolar RNA SNORD67 (ENSMICG00000047598.1)". It matches the Rfam family "Small nucleolar RNA SNORD67". From Rfam's summary of the family: snoRNA HBII-166 belongs to the C/D family of snoRNAs. The record is from RNAcentral. Lineage: Eukaryota; Metazoa; Chordata; Mammalia; Primates; Cheirogaleidae.
UGUGAGGGAUGAGUUACACUCUGAUGGAGCCAUGGUAUCAGGUGAUACAGGAACCACUCAGAAUCACCCUGGUGAAAAAAAUCAAGUAAAUAUACAAA